Molecule: non-coding RNA, 220 nt
Organism: Pelobates cultripes (western spadefoot toad)
Lineage: Eukaryota; Metazoa; Chordata; Amphibia; Anura; Pelobatidae
Source: the annotation of a GenBank genome assembly
UGAGAAGAUGCCAGCGUCCAUAGGAAAGCAUUGAGAAUGCUUUCCUAUGAGACUGGCUGAAUGCGCGCGCGGCUCUUGCCGCGCAUGUGCAUUCAGCCAAUGACGGGGAAAGGAGGAGGAGAGUAUCCAGCACCAAGGGAGCCUGGCGCUGGAGAAAGGUGAGUGUUUAACCCCCUUCCUCCCCCUUCAGCCCGGCGGGAGGGGGACCCUGAGGGUGGGG